GCCGGGUGUGGUGGCGCGCGCCUGUAAUCCCAGCUACUCAGGAGGCUGAGGCAGGAGAAUCGCUUGAACUCUGGAGGCAGAGGUUGCAGUGAGCCGAGAUCGCACCACUGCACUCCAGCCUGGGUGACAGAGCCAGACUCUGUCUCAA
This is an unclassified non-coding RNA of Macaca mulatta (Rhesus monkey), 148 nucleotides long. It matches the Rfam family "Metazoan signal recognition particle RNA". From Rfam's summary of the family: The signal recognition particle (SRP) is a universally conserved ribonucleoprotein. It is involved in the co-translational targeting of proteins to membranes. NCBI's taxonomy places the organism in Eukaryota, Metazoa, Chordata, Mammalia, Primates, Cercopithecidae. The record is from Ensembl.